AACAUAUGAUUGUGGGUUAUCUUUUUUUUUUAAGAGAAUUGGUUUUAAGUCUAAACCCUUUGGGUUCUUUCUUUAAUUUGCAUAUCUAGGAAAAGUUGGCAUUUUGUUAGUCAAAAUUCAGUUCUACAAUAAUUUUAAUUGUGGCUUUUGCUUGUAAGUUGAUAUUGCAUGUUGGGCUUUCAUUAAAAUGUGUGAAAAUCUGGUUUUUCAUGAUAAUGUUUGGUGACAUUGUCGACAAAGUGUGAGGCUGCAAAUGCAAAGGUGAUAGUGUUUCAAGAAAGUGUGCAAGAUAAGGGUUUGCAAUGGGUUUAACUAUGUUAGUUGGUAUAGUUCCUGAUAUUUCAUUGGACUCUUUGCUGAAACUGAUAGUUGACUUAUUAGAAGCCUCUUCUUCUAUGACGGAACAGGAUAUCAAAGUUUGUCUUUUAGGUCGUUUUUUUUUUUUUUGCUUAUGGUGCUCUUGCAAGAUCAGGAAGACUGAUUCAAGAAAGUAGGUAUAUUAAGGAAUUCAUUGGUGUUGUUAUUACACUAGCCACCAAAAAACGUUAUCUCUAGCAACCUUUUGUUGUUGUUGUCCUGUAGUACUAUUUGAUACAUAAAAUACCUAAACUACCCCCGUGACCCUUCCAUUGAUUGAUAGGUUCACAAACGAAAGCUCCCAGAAAAGGAAG
Molecule: non-coding RNA, 671 nt
Organism: Lactuca sativa (garden lettuce)
Lineage: Eukaryota; Viridiplantae; Streptophyta; Magnoliopsida; Asterales; Asteraceae
Source: RefSeq, a predicted model, not a curated record